CCCUACGGGGGGCAGCAGUGAGGAAUAUUGGUCAAUGGGAGAGAUCCUGAACCAGCCAAGCCGCGUGAGGGAAGACGGCCCUAUGGGUUGUAAACCUCUUUUGUCGGAGAACAAAACCCGGGACGAGUCCCGGACUGCGUGUAUCCGAAGAAAAAGCAUCGGCUAACUCCGUGCCAGCAGCCGCGGUAAUACGGAGGAUGCGAGCGUUAUCCGGAUUUAUUGGGUUUAAAGGGUGCGUAGGCGGUCCGUUAAGUCAGCGGUAAAAUUGCGGGGCUCAACCCCCUCGAGCCGUUGAAACUGGCAGG
This 305-nucleotide ribosomal RNA is filed under the name uncultured bacterium. Its description in RNAcentral is "bacterial SSU rRNA". It matches the Rfam family "Bacterial small subunit ribosomal RNA", at positions 337 to 640 of the family's 1533-position model. The record is from RNAcentral.